This is a long non-coding RNA of Eriocheir sinensis (Chinese mitten crab), 955 nucleotides long. RefSeq lists it as uncharacterized. The transcript has 4 exons. Lineage: Eukaryota; Metazoa; Arthropoda; Malacostraca; Decapoda; Varunidae. The record is from RefSeq and is a predicted model, not a curated record.
GGUUUGCUCUGCUGAUGGCUCGCAAUUUCUUCUCACACCAACGCAGGGCACGACCAGAGGAAGGUUACCUUGGCGCCUCAGCAUCGGGUUUGUCAGACUGCCGACGGUUCCUUAGAUUUGUCAGACUGCCGACGGUGAACACCUGGAUUAACUCUGCGCUCCAUUGGGAUUGCUGGAAAGUGACUACGCUCGCCAAUUAACACGGAGAUCAACUGUAUCGGCAAUGUUUUGUUAACUUGCAAUAGGUUCGGGUUGCAAUUGACCUGGUUCUCGCAUGAAGUUCUAGUAAUUUUUUAAAAUUAAACCAAAGUGUCUCCUCUUUGUUUGACUUUACUCCCAAACUGCAAUACUUGUUUCCAAUGUGAGUUUUGUGUCAAACUUUUGUGAAGUACAUGUACGAAUUUGCCGUAGUAUGUUAUUGAUCCUUAAAUGUUGUUGAUCCUUAAAUGUUUAUGUAUUGCAUGCAUUCAAUUUUAACAAUAACACAUUUGAAUGUUUAGGUGACAGUUGACUUAAGGAAUAAAAAUUUACAGCACCUGGAGUGGAAGCUUAAUUAGCUAAUGAAAACGGGUGACAACGGUAUGUGUGGAGAAGAAAGUGAGAAAUCUAAAUGUCCUAAACCUAUCGCAGAGCAUUUACAAUAAAAAUCUUCUAAGGUCGAAAAGCCAAUGCUACAGAUGGACAUCGAUGGUGCUUUUAGGAUCAGAGGAACGGAAAAGGGUUGUGACGCGGCUCGCUUAAAGUAACAGCAGUGCCGACGUUAGUGGACGAGCCGGGCAGGAUUGAUUGUGGUGGCAGUAUGUGGUAGAUUUUGCCGUCGUAGUAAUAAGUUACAUAAUGCUGUGGUUGUAUUGAUUACAUGCAUUCAUCCUAUUUUUAGUUAUUACCGUUGCUGCUGCUGUCAAUGAUACUCCUACCACGAAAAGACACUCCUACCACGGUAAGACUAGAACAA